This 468-nucleotide ribosomal RNA is filed under the name uncultured bacterium. RNAcentral describes it as "partial 16S ribosomal RNA". It matches the Rfam family "Bacterial small subunit ribosomal RNA", at positions 28 to 507 of the family's 1533-position model. The record is from RNAcentral.
GACGAACGCUGGCGGCGUGCUUAACACAUGCAAGUCGAACGGAAAGGCCCUGCUUUUGUGGGGUGCUCGAGUGGCGAACGGGUGAGUAACACGUGAGUAACCUGCCCUUGACUUUGGGAUAACUUCAGGAAACUGGGGCUAAUACCGGAUAGGAUCUCCUGCUCCAUGGUGGGGGUUGGAAAUUUUCGGCGGUUGGGGAUGGACUCGCGGCUUAUCAGCUUGUUGGUGGGGUAGUGGCUUACCAAGGCUUUGACGGGUAGCCGGCCUGAGAGGGUGACCGGCCACAUUGGGACUGAGAUACGGACCAGACUCCUACGGGAGGCAGCAGUGGGGAAUAUUGCACAAUGGGCGGAAGCCUGAUGCAGCAACGCCGCGUGCGGGAUGACGGCCUUCGGGUUGUAAACCGCUUUCGCCUGUGACGAAGCGUGAGUGACGGUAAUGGGUAAAGAAGCACCGGCUAACUACGUG